ACGAAGUCUUCGGACUGAGUGGCGGACGGGUGAGUAACACGUGAGAACCUGCCUUAAGGUCGGGGAUAACAGUUGGAAACGACUGCUAAUACCGGAUGUGCCUACGGGUGAAAGAUUUAUUGCCUAAAGAUGGGCUCGCGUCUGAUUAGCUAGUUGGAGUGGUAAUGGCACACCAAGGCGACGAUCAGUAGCUGGUCUGAGAGGGUGAUCAGCCACACUGGGACUGAGACACGGCCCAGACUCCUACGGGAGGCAGCAGUGGGGAAUUUUCCGCAAUAGGCGAAAGCCUGACGGAGCAAGACCGCGUGAGGGAGGAAGGCUCUUGGGUUGUAAACCUCUUUUGUCAGGGAAGAACACAACGACGGUACCUGACGAAUCAGCAUCGGCUAACUCCGUGCCAGCAGCCGCGGUAAUACGGAGGAUGCAAGCGUUAUCCGGAAUUAUUGGGCGUAAAGCGUCCGCAGGUGGUUGUACAAGUCUGCUGUCAAAGCGCGGAGCUUAACUCCGUAAAGGCGGUGGAAACUGUGCGACUAGAGUUCGGUAGGGGUCGCGGGAAUUCCCAGUGUAGCGGUGAAAUGCGUAGAUAUUGGGAAGAACACCGGUGGCGAAAGCGCGCGACUGGACCGAGACUGACACUCAUGGACGAAAGCUAGGGGAGCGAAAGGGAUUAGAUACCCCUGUAGUCCUAGCCGUA
Molecule: ribosomal RNA, 694 nt
Filed under: uncultured cyanobacterium
Lineage: Bacteria; Bacillati; Cyanobacteriota
Description: bacterial SSU rRNA
Rfam family: Bacterial small subunit ribosomal RNA
Source: RNAcentral